GGGGGCGUAACGGCUUCGACGGGGAUCUGAAGGCAGGAAAAGCGAGUAGCGGCGGGGGACCGCUUUAUCACCCUCCAUAUAAAAAUAGCUAACGACAACGAAACUUUAGCUGUAGCGGCAUAGUCCGCUUCCGUCGGUCGGCCUGAGUACUGCGUAGGGUCUUCCGGCGUAACCUUUAGCAGUGAACGUGCGCGGCGCAAAGCUUUGAGUGCUGCCAUGUAAUGAUGAAGCUACCGAGCGCAAGGCUUGUCCGUUUGCCGACCGCAAGGGAAUUUCAAUAACGGACUGCACUCGGAGAAGUUCCCGCUGACGGGUUUUCGGACAGGGGUUCGAUUCCCCUCGCCUCCACCA
This 351-nucleotide transfer-messenger RNA is filed under the name human gut metagenome. It matches the Rfam family "transfer-messenger RNA". Rfam says of the family: Bacterial tmRNA, also known as 10Sa RNA or SsrA, is named for its dual tRNA and mRNA-like properties. Its role is to liberate the mRNA from a stalled ribosome. To accomplish this part of the tmRNA is used as a reading frame that ends in a translation stop signal. The record is from RNAcentral.